This 619-nucleotide ribosomal RNA is filed under the name Colletotrichum boninense. RNAcentral's name for it is "LSU rRNA". It matches the Rfam family "Eukaryotic large subunit ribosomal RNA", at positions 46 to 688 of the family's 3401-position model. The record is from RNAcentral. Lineage: Eukaryota; Fungi; Ascomycota; Sordariomycetes; Glomerellales; Glomerellaceae.
AUAAGCGGAGGAAAAGAAACCAACAGGGAUUGCCCCAGUAACGGCGAGUGAAGCGGCAACAGCUCAAAUUUGAAAUCUGGCCCCAGGCCCGAGUUGUAAUUUGCAGAGGAUGCUUUUGGCGCGGUGCCUUCCGAGUUCCCUGGAACGGGACGCCAUAGAGGGUGAGAGCCCCGUACGGUUGGACACCAAGUCUUUGUAAAGCUCCUUCGACGAGUCGAGUAGUUUGGGAAUGCUGCUCAAAAUGGGAGGUAUAUUUCUUCUAAAGCUAAAUAUUGGCCAGAGACCGAUAGCGCACAAGUAGAGUGAUCGAAAGAUGAAAAGCACUUUGAAAAGAGGGUUAAACAGCACGUGAAAUUGUUAAAAGGGAAGCGCUUAUGACCAGACUUGCGCCCGGUGAAUCACCCAGCUCUCGCGGCUGGGGCACUUUGCCGGCUCAGGCCAGCAUCAGCUCGCUGUCGGGGACAAAAGCUUCGGGAACGUAGCUCUCUUCGGGGAGUGUUAUAGCCCGUUGCACAAUACCCUUCGGCGGGCUGAGGUACGCGCUCCGCAAGGAUGCUGGCGUAAUGGUCAUCAGCGACCCGUCUUGAAACACGGACCAAGAGAGUCAACCUUAUGUGCG